UAUUUAUUAGAUAACAGACCAAUAUUCCUCGUGUCUAUUGUGGUGACUCAUAGUAACUGAUCGGAUCGCAUGGCCUUGUGCCGCGACUAACCAUUCAAGUUUCUGACCCAUCAGCUUUCGAUGGUAGUGUAUUGGACUACCAUGGCUUUCACGGGUAACGGAGGAUUAGGGUUCGAUUCCGGAGAGGGAGCCUGAGAAACGGCUACCACAUCUAAGGAAGGCAGCAGGCGCGUAAAUUACCCAAUCCUGACUCAGGGAGGUAGUGACAAGAAAUAACGGGUCGGGGCAUUCGCCUCGGGAUUGCAAUGAAUCGAAUUUACACCCCUUAAUGAGGAUCAAUUGGAGGGCAAGUCUGGUGCCAGCAGCCGCGGUAAUUCCAGCUCCAAUAGCGUAUAUUAAAGUUGUUGCCGUUAAAAAGCUCGUAGUUGAACCUUGGACCUGGCUGAUCUGUCCUCCUAAUCGAGCGCACGGAUUCGGUCGGGUCUUUCCUUCUGGGGAGCCCUAUGCCCUUCACUGGGUGUAGUGGGGAACCAGGACUUUUACCUUGAAAAAAUUAGAGUGUUCAAAGCAGGCCUU
This 576-nucleotide ribosomal RNA is filed under the name uncultured eukaryote. RNAcentral describes it as "bacterial SSU rRNA". It matches the Rfam family "Eukaryotic small subunit ribosomal RNA", at positions 203 to 788 of the family's 1831-position model. The record is from RNAcentral.